GAGCCUCGGAAGAAGGUUGCAGCUCAGCAGUUUUCCCACAAUGACUGGGAUGAAGUGAGAUAAACCUGGGGCCUUGGUUGAAGCUCUUGAAGACCAGAAGAGCAGGCUCUUCCUGGUACACAGUCAUUUCCAAGAGCAGUGACCACAAUGAUGUUAACGGGCUUCCAGAGAUGACCUGUGCUCCUUUGGAACUGGAAUGUUUCUGUGUUUUGGAAUCUGUCUAUGGAAAUCAGCUGACUCCUCCAGACCAAUUCAGAUCUAGAUAAAAAAAAGCUUGAAACCUUACUGCCCAGGUAACAGUGCCCCCCGGAGAGACUUCCAUGGCUGUAAAUGGACAUCUCUCUCCUUUUUCACUGCUACACUGGACUACACAGCCCUUGAAGUUGUCUGAAGCUUAUUCCAUACCACAAUUUCCCGGAACCAGAAUUCCCUGUUUCUUGCUCAUAAGUAUCUGUCUGCAGCCUUUACACUUGAAGGUCAGCACAGCUGGAUAUAAAGCUUGUGGCUCCCAGUCUUUUCUUGAUAUAUUGAAUAUGUUUGCCCAUGUCUUCUAGAAUA
Molecule: long non-coding RNA, 558 nt
Organism: Choloepus didactylus (southern two-toed sloth)
Lineage: Eukaryota; Metazoa; Chordata; Mammalia; Pilosa; Megalonychidae
Exons: 4
Source: RefSeq, a predicted model, not a curated record